Molecule: ribosomal RNA, 842 nt
Filed under: Staphylococcus epidermidis
Lineage: Bacteria; Bacillati; Bacillota; Bacilli; Caryophanales; Staphylococcaceae
Description: bacterial SSU rRNA
Rfam family: Bacterial small subunit ribosomal RNA
Source: RNAcentral
UUUAUGGAGAGUUUGAUCCUGGCUCAGGAUGAACGCUGGCGGCGUGCCUAAUACAUGCAAGUCGAGCGAACAGACGAGGAGCUUGCUCCUCUGACGUUAGCGGCGGACGGGUGAGUAACACGUGGAUAACCUACCUAUAAGACUGGGAUAACUUCGGGAAACCGGAGCUAAUACCGGAUAAUAUAUUGAACCGCAUGGUUCAAUAGUGAAAGACGGUUUUGCUGUCACUUAUAGAUGGAUCCGCGCCGCAUUAGCUAGUUGGUAAGGUAACGGCUUACCAAGGCAACGAUGCGUAGCCGACCUGAGAGGGUGAUCGGCCACACUGGAACUGAGACACGGUCCAGACUCCUACGGGAGGCAGCAGUAGGGAAUCUUCCGCAAUGGGCGAAAGCCUGACGGAGCAACGCCGCGUGAGUGAUGAAGGUCUUCGGAUCGUAAAACUCUGUUAUUAGGGAAGAACAAAUGUGUAAGUAACUAUGCACGUCUUGACGGUACCUAAUCAGAAAGCCACGGCUAACUACGUGCCAGCAGCCGCGGUAAUACGUAGGUGGCAAGCGUUAUCCGGAAUUAUUGGGCGUAAAGCGCGCGUAGGCGGUUUUUUAAGUCUGAUGUGAAAGCCCACGGCUCAACCGUGGAGGGUCAUUGGAAACUGGAAAACUUGAGUGCAGAAGAGGAAAGUGGAAUUCCAUGUGUAGCGGUGAAAUGCGCAGAGAUAUGGAGGAACACCAGUGGCGAAGGCGACUUUCUGGUCUGUAACUGACGCUGAUGUGCGAAAGCGUGGGGAUCAAACAGGAUUAGAUACCCUGGUAGUCCACGCCGUAAACGAUGAGUGCUAAGUGUUA